This 351-nucleotide unclassified non-coding RNA is filed under the name Hevea brasiliensis (rubber tree). The record is from RNAcentral. Lineage: Eukaryota; Viridiplantae; Streptophyta; Magnoliopsida; Malpighiales; Euphorbiaceae.
CAUUUGCUUUCUCAACACUGCAUCUACUAUGCCACUCACACUAUUCAAAGCCCCAUAAUUGUUAGAAUCUUGAAUCACCUUUAACCUCUCGAUUAUGGAACAAGCGUUUCUGAAUUGCGAAAGCAAGCGAGAUCGAUGAUGGUCCCAUUUGUCCAUUUCUUCUUUGACCUUUCUGAAUCUCUGCUGAUAUUUUUUCACAAUUGAUUCCAUAGCGGCUUCAAAACCCUUCUUCUGCUGCUUCUGCAACCUCUGUUUUCUCGCUCCAAAACCUUUCCGCCGCCGGUUUCUAGCAAAUGCAACGGCACCGUUUCUUCAAAUCACAAAUUACUCCUCUAAAGUUUUUGAAUUUAC